Molecule: ribosomal RNA, 463 nt
Filed under: uncultured bacterium
Lineage: Bacteria
Description: bacterial SSU rRNA
Rfam family: Bacterial small subunit ribosomal RNA
Source: RNAcentral
UGGGGAAUAUUGGACAAUGGGCGCAAGCCUGAUCCAGCCACGCCGCGUGAGUGAUGAAGGCCUUCGGGUCGUAAAGCUCUGUGGGGAGGGACGAACGUCCCGUUGAAGAAACGGGGGUGACGGUACCUCCUUAGCAAGCACCGGCUAACUUCGUGCCAGCAGCCGCGGUAAUACGAAGGGUGCAAACGUUGCUCGGAAUCAUUGGGCGUAAAGCGCACGUAGGCGGCGCUGCAAGUCAUCUGUGAAAUCUCCGGGCUUAACUCGGAACGGUCAGAUGAUACUGCUUUGCUAGAGUGCAGAAGGGGCAAUCGGAAUUCUUGGUGUAGCGGUGAAAUGCGUAGAUAUCAAGAGGAACACCUGAGGUGAAGACGGGUUGCUGGGCUGACACUGACGCUGAGGCGCGAAAGCCAGGGGAGCAAACGGGAUUAGAUACCCCAGUAGUGAGCGGGCUGGCAAGGCGCAU